AGUGAACGCUGGCGGUAGGCCUAACACAUGCAAGUCGAACGGCAGCACAGUAAGAGCUUGCUCUUACGGGUGGCGAGUGGCGGACGGGUGAGGAAUACAUCGGAAUCUACUUUUUCGUGGGGGAUAACGUAGGGAAACUUACGCUAAUACCGCAUACGACCUACAGGUGAAAGCAGGGGAUCUUCGGACCUUGCGCGAUUGAAUGGGCCGAUGUCGGAUUAGCUAGUUGGCGGGGUAAAGGCCCACCAAGGCGACGAUCCGUAGCUGGUCUGAGAGGAUGAUCGGCAACACUGGAACUGAGACACGGUCCAGACUCCUACGGGAGGCAGCGGUGGGGAAUAUUGGACAAUGGGCGCAAGCCUGAUCCAGCCAUACCGCGUGGGUGAAGAAGGCCUUCGGGUUGUAAAGCCCUUUUGUUGGGAAAGAAAAGCAGCAGGUUAAUACCCCGCUGUUCUGACGGUACCCAAAGAAUAAGCACCGGCUAACUUCGUG
This 492-nucleotide ribosomal RNA is filed under the name uncultured bacterium. RNAcentral describes it as "partial 16S ribosomal RNA". It matches the Rfam family "Bacterial small subunit ribosomal RNA", at positions 29 to 507 of the family's 1533-position model. The record is from RNAcentral.